UACGGAUUCUACAGCAGCCCUACCGUGCUGUAUGAUUCUUAUGGAACCCCAAAAGUAAGAUUUACUUCUCUAGAAAGUUCACGUGGUUAAGGAACCGCGUAGUAAAUUGUAUCGCUGUGUCUCCACCAAAUCUCCACGUGUCCCAUCAGCACACGGAGGAGCUGUAUAUAUAUAAACCACUCACGGUUUCUGUCAAUCCCACCACACACCUCCACCAGUUGCCCUACUUCUUCUUCUACCAAAACUCUCUCAAUUUUCCUGCAAAAAAUUGUCAGCAAAUAUGGCGAGCGAAGGAACAUUAAACUGCGUUGACAUUCUCAUCGCCAUCCUCUUGCCUCCUCUUGGAGUCUUCCUCAAGUUGGUUGCCAUGCGGAAUUCUGGAUCUGUUGUUGCUGACCAUCUUUGGUUACCUCCCUGGGAUUAUUUAUGCCAUUUAUGUCAUCACCAAGUGAUAUCCAAUUUCUGUAUUAGAGAUGUGAAGGACACAUGUGUCAUUUUGUGUUUGCAGUAUUGGAUUGUUUUCAGCCGUUUGAUUAUCUGGUGCAGCCAAGUGGAUGGUUGAUGUUUUCAUGUAGUGAUUGUUCAUUUUUUGUUUUUUAUUUUAAUUUAAUUUUCCUUCCACCUAUUAUCUGUCUAUUGUAAAGAUAGACUAAUGCUAUUCACAUGCUCAGUCUUACUCAUUUGUCAGUGUAAUUUGUUUUUUAUUUCGAUGGUAAUGUAAUUUGGUUUUUCAUUUCACCCAAUUGGGUUACAAAGUAUCUUACAGCC
Malus domestica (apple) is the source of this 768-nucleotide non-coding RNA. Lineage: Eukaryota; Viridiplantae; Streptophyta; Magnoliopsida; Rosales; Rosaceae. The record is from RefSeq and is a predicted model, not a curated record.